RNAcentral lists this ribosomal RNA (245 nucleotides) under uncultured Lysobacter sp. RNAcentral's name for it is "partial 16S ribosomal RNA". It matches the Rfam family "Bacterial small subunit ribosomal RNA", at positions 524 to 768 of the family's 1533-position model. The record is from RNAcentral. Lineage: Bacteria; Pseudomonadati; Pseudomonadota; Gammaproteobacteria; Lysobacterales; Lysobacteraceae.
UACGAAGGGUGCAAGCGUUACUCGGAAUUACUGGGCGUAAAGCGUGCGUAGGUGGUUUGUUAAGUCUGAUGUGAAAGCCCUGGGCUCAACCUGGGAAUUGCAUUGGAUACUGGCAGGCUAGAGUGCGGUAGAGGAUGGCGGAAUUCCCGGUGUAGCAGUGAAAUGCGUAGAGAUCGGGAGGAACAUCUGUGGCGAAGGCGGCCAUCUGGACCAGCACUGACACUGAGGCACGAAAGCGUGGGGAG